RNAcentral lists this ribosomal RNA (450 nucleotides) under uncultured bacterium. RNAcentral's name for it is "bacterial SSU rRNA". It matches the Rfam family "Bacterial small subunit ribosomal RNA", at positions 354 to 796 of the family's 1533-position model. The record is from RNAcentral.
GUGGGGAAUUUUGCGCAAUGGGGGAAACCCUGACGCAGCGACGCCGCGUGGAGGAUGAAGGCCCUUGGGUCGUAAACUCCUGUCAGGUGGGAAGAAAAGCCUUCGGUAAACAGCCGAGGGUCUUGACUGUACCACCGGAGGAAGCCCCGGCUAACUCCGUGCCAGCAGCCGCGGUAAUACGGAGGGGGCAAGCGUUGUUCGGAAUCAUUGGGCGUAAAGGGCGCGUAGGCGGCCGAACAAGUCGGGUGUGAAAUCCCUCGGCUCAACCGAGGAACUGCACUCGAUACUGUUUGGCUAGAGUCCGGGAGGGGAUGGUGGAAUUCCCAGUGUAGCGGUGAAAUGCGUAGAUAUUGGGAAGAACACCGGUGGCGAAGGCGGCCAUCUGGACCGGCACUGACGCUGAGGCGCGAAAGCCAGGGGAGCGAAUGGGAUUAGAAACCCCAGUAGUCC